UUUCUUCUUAUUUUUCCGCUUGUGUUCCUAACAUCAGUUUCCCCCCUCAAGAUGGCGCAUGUCAUAAAGUUCAAAUUUCUGCCACUGCUAUUGUGCUACUCUUUCUGGUUCUACAAUGCUGGAAUUUCAGAAUUUUCUCCAUUGCCGAAGUGCACUUCCACUUUUAACCAGAACAACCUUUUACAGCAGUGAUCCAGUUCAAAUUUUUCAUCAAUUAAAACAUAAUCUUCGCACUUGCUGAUGAUCAAUCUCCUGAAGGAAUAGCCUCUUCAUUACAGUGGCAUGCUGCUCUGGAGGACAUCCAAGACUAAAAUUUAGUGGUGGCUGUGGUGCACAUCCAGGAACAGACGCAGCAAAGUAAAAACACUUCAAUAACACCUUAAACCGGUCUGUUCUCUGUUCAUAUAUUUUGCCCAAACUCAUGGUAUUUGUUAAGCUUUUGGACCAACAAACCUGAAAAAAUUCAGUUUUGUAAAACGUGACAGAAAGGAUGCUCACGCGUUGCACCAGGCUGUGGGUGCGCACAAGGUGCAAUUGCGUGGAGCACACCGAGAUGGAUGUUCUGAGUUGUGCAGAUCACGCCUUUGGGUGUCUUGCAGAUUGUGUGGUGGUUUUUGACUGGUCUGCAUUUGUGGGGGUCUUGCGUCGCAUGGUUGAGGGUGAUCGGUUUGACUGCUUCUUUCACUGGUCUCCCGCAGGACAGGAUGGGUUGAUUACUCCUCUAAUCGACUCGCUAAAAAUUCAAACUUUGACAUGUUCUUUUCCCAGUGUUCAUUAUAUAUCUUCAAAAGAUUCUCAAAAAUGAACUGUAAUUCACCCAUAACGAUUGGCUUUGGUGCCAGUUUGUCACAGUCCCUAUCAAUGAAUCCAGUUAUGAGAUUUUGUUUAUAGUAUGGGUUCGUUAUGAGAGAACUAAUGAUCUCUUGAAUAAGAAAAGUACUCCAAACUUGAUAAAUUUUUCUUCAUCCAUAAUCUGUCCAUAAAGACAGCUUGGUAUUUUAAUACAAAGAUAACCAAUCAUGUUGUGAGUUAUUUCCCAAAAUUAUUAUAACUACUCAACUACCCAUAUUAUCUUAGCCUCACUCUUUUUUCCCUUCUCCUAUACACAUCCUACUAUAUAAUACAUAUACACAAAACAAAGAGCAGUUAUUCUGGAAGUUACUCUCCAGAACAGCAUAAAUUUUC
RNAcentral lists this long non-coding RNA (1185 nucleotides) under Carica papaya (papaya). RNAcentral describes it as "long non-coding RNA (CPAP_LNC008561)". Lineage: Eukaryota; Viridiplantae; Streptophyta; Magnoliopsida; Brassicales; Caricaceae. The record is from RNAcentral.